GACGAACGCUGGCGGCGUGCCUAAUACAUGCAAGUUGAGCGCUGAAGGUUGGUACUUGUACCGACUGGAUGAGCAGCGAACGGGUGAGUAACGCGUGGGGAAUCUGCCUUUGAGCGGGGGACAACAUUUGGAAACGAAUGCUAAUACCGCAUAAAAACUUUAAACACAAGUUUUAAGUUUGAAAGAUGCAAUUGCAUCACUCAAAGAUGAUCCCGCGUUGUAUUAGCUAAUUGGUGAGGUAAAGGCUCACCAAGGCGAUGAUACAUAGCCGACCUGAGAGGGUGAUCGGUCACAUUGGGACUGAGACACGGCCCAAACUCCUACGGGAGGCAGCAGUAGGGAAUCUUCGGCAAUGGACGAAAGUCUGACCGAGCAACGCCGCGUGAGUGAAGAAGGUUUUCGGAUCGUAAAACUCUGUUGGUAGAGAAGAACGUUGGUGAGAGUGGAAAGCUCAUCAAGUGACGGUAACUACCCAGAAAGGGACGGCUAACUACGUGCCAGCAGCCGCCGUAA
Molecule: ribosomal RNA, 513 nt
Filed under: uncultured bacterium
Lineage: Bacteria
Description: partial 16S ribosomal RNA
Rfam family: Bacterial small subunit ribosomal RNA
Source: RNAcentral